UAGUCGAAAAUGUUGUCUCUCUUGAGUGGAUCCUGAGUACGACGGAGCACGUGAAAUUCCGUCGGAAUCUGGGAGGACCAUCUCCUAAGGCUAAAUACUCUCUAGUGACCGAUAGUGAACCAGUACCGUGAGGGAAAGGUGAAAAGCACCCCGGAAGGGGAGUGAAAUAGAACCUGAAACCGUGUGCUUACAAGUAGUCAGAGCCCGUUAAUGGGUGAUGGCGUGCCUUUUGUAGAAUGAACCGGCGAGUUACGAUUUGAUGCAAGGUUAAGCAGUAAAUGUGGAGCCGUAGCGAAAGCGAGUCUGAAUAGGGCGUUUAGUAUUUGGUCGUAGACCCGAAACCAGGUGAUCUACCCUUGGUCAGGUUGAAGUUCAGGUAACACUGAAUGGAGGACCGAACCGACUUACGUUGAAAAGUGAGCGGAUGAACUGAGGGUAGCGGAGAAAUUCCAAUCGAACCUGGAGAUAGCUGGUUCUCUCCGAAAUAGCUUUAGGGCUAGCCUCAAGUGAUGAUUAUUGGAGGUAGAGCACUGUUUGGACGAGGGGCCCCUCUCGGGUUACCGAAUUCAGACAAACUCCGAAUGCCAAUUAAUUUAACUUGGGAGUCAGAACAUGGGUGAUAAGGUCCGUGUUCGAAAGGGAAACAGCCCAGACCACCAGCUAAGGUCCCAAAAUAUAUGUUAAGUGGAAAAGGAUGUGGCGUUGCCCAGACAACUAGGAUGUUGGCUUAGAAGCAGCCAUCAUUUAAAGAGUGCGUAAUAGCUCACUAGUCGAGUGACACUGCGCCGAAAAUGUACCGGGGCUAAACAUAUUACCGAAGCUGUGGAUUGUCCUUUGGACAAUGGUAGGAGAGCGUUCUAAGGGCGUUGAAGCAUGAUCGUAAGGACAUGUGGAGCGCUUAGAAGUGAGAAUGCCGGUGUGAGUAGCGAAAGACGGGUGAGAAUCCCGUCCACCGAUUGACUAAGGUUUCCAGAGGAAGGCUCGUCCGCUCUGGGUUAGUCGGGUCCUAAGCUGAGGCCGACAGGCGUAGGCGAUGGAUAACAGGUUGAUAUUCCUGUACCACCUAUAAUCGUUUUAAUCGAUGGGGGGACGCAGUAGGAUAGGCGAAGCGUGCGAUUGGAUUGCACGUCUAAGCAGUAAGGCUGAGUAUUAGGCAAAUCCGGUACUCGUUAAGGCUGAGCUGUGAUGGGGAGAAGACAUUGUGUCUUCGAGUCGUUGAUUUCACACUGCCGAGAAAAGCCUCUAGAUAGAAAAUAGGUGCCCGUACCGCAAACCGACACAGGUAGUCAAGAUGAGAAUUCUAAGGUGAGCGAGCGAACUCUCGUUAAGGAACUCGGCAAAAUGACCCCGUAACUUCGGGAGAAGGGGUGCUCUUUAGGGUUAACGCCCAGAAGAGCCGCAGUGAAUAGGCCCAAGCGACUGUUUAUCAAAAACACAGGUCUCUGCUAAACCGUAAGGUGAUGUAUAGGGGCUGACGCCUGCCCGGUGCUGGAAGGUUAAGAGGAGUGGUUAGCUUCUGCGAAGCUACGAAUCGAAGCCCCAGUAAACGGCGGCCGUAACUAUAACGGUCCUAAGGUAGCGAAAUUCCUUGUCGGGUAAGUUCCGACCCGCACGAAAGGCGUAACGAUUUGGGCACUGUCUCAACGAGAGACUCGGUGAAAUCAUAGUACCUGUGAAGAUGCAGGUUACCCGCGACAGGACGGAAAGACCCCGUGGAGCUUUACUGUAGCCUGAUAUUGAAAUUCGGCACAGCUUGUACAGGAUAGGUAGGAGCCUUUGAAACGUGAGCGCUAGCUUACGUGGAGGCGCUGGUGGGAUACUACCCUAGCUGUGUUGGCUUUCUAACCCGCACCACUUAUCGUGGUGGGAGACAGUGUCAGGCGGGCAGUUUGACUGGGGCGGUCGCCUCCUAAAAGGUAACGGAGGCGCUCAAAGGUUCCCUCAGAAUGGUUGGAAAUCAUUCAUAGAGUGUAAAGGCAUAAGGGAGCUUGACUGCGAGACCUACAAGUCGAGCAGGGUCGAAAGACGGACUUAGUGAUCCGGUGGUUCCGCAUGGAAGGGCCAUCGCUCAACGGAUAAAAGCUACCCCGGGGAUAACAGGCUUAUCUCCCCCAAGAGUUCACAUCGACGGGGAGGUUUGGCACCUCGAUGUCGGCUCAUCGCAUCCUGGGGCUGUAGUCGGUCCCAAGGGUUGGGCUGUUCGCCCAUUAAAGCGGUACGCGAGCUGGGUUCAGAACGUCGUGAGACAGUUCGGUCCCUAUCCGUCGUGGGCGUAGGAAAUUUGAGAGGAGCUGUCCUUAGUACGAGAGGACCGGGAUGGACAUACCUCUGGUGUACCAGUUGUCGUGCCAACGGCAUAGCUGGGUAGCUAUGUGUGGACGGGAUAAGUGCUGAAAGCAUCUAAGCAUGAAGCCCCCCUCAAGAUGAGAUUUCCCAACUUCGGUUAUAAGAUCCCUCAAAGAUGAUGAGGUUAAUAGGUUCGAGGUGGAAGCAUGGUGACAUGUGGAGCUGACGAAUACUAAUCGAUCGAAGACUUAAUCAA
Molecule: ribosomal RNA, 2542 nt
Filed under: Staphylococcus aureus DAR3913
Lineage: Bacteria; Bacillati; Bacillota; Bacilli; Caryophanales; Staphylococcaceae
Description: bacterial LSU rRNA
Rfam family: Bacterial large subunit ribosomal RNA
Source: RNAcentral